UUGAUCCUGGCUCAGAAUCAACGCUGGCGGCGUGCCUCAGACAUGCAAGUCGAACGCGAAAGCCCUUCGGGGUGAGUAGAGUGGCGCACGGGUGAGUAAUACGUAGGUAAUCUACCUCCGGGUGGGGAAUAACGACCGGAAACGGUCGCUAAUACCGCAUAACGCAGCGGCACCACAUGGUGACAGUUGUUAAAGCGGGUGAUCGUAAGACCUCGCGCCUAGAGAUGAGCCUGCGGCGGAUUAGCUAGUUGGCGGGGUAACGGCCCACCAAGGCGACGAUCCGUAGCCGGCCUGAGAGGUCGGACGGCCACACUGGCACUGACAUACGGGCCAGACUCCUACGGGAGGCUGCAGUCGGGAAUUUUGGGCAAUGGGCGCAAGCCUGACCCAGCAACGCCGUGUGAAGGAUGAAGCUUUUCGGAGUGUAAACUUCAUAAGAGUGGGACGAAUAAGUGGGGGAUAACACCCCCCAUGAUGACGGUACCAUUUGUAAGCUCCGUCUAACUCCGUGCCAGCAGCCGCGGUAAUAAGGU
RNAcentral lists this ribosomal RNA (533 nucleotides) under uncultured Acidobacteriota bacterium. RNAcentral's name for it is "bacterial SSU rRNA". It matches the Rfam family "Bacterial small subunit ribosomal RNA", at positions 13 to 529 of the family's 1533-position model. Lineage: Bacteria; Pseudomonadati; Acidobacteriota. The record is from RNAcentral.